AUUCUUUUGUUAGGUUAUAUUCUGCCGUCAGACAAUUAGCUAGAUGACCGCAGUAUCGUCCGUGUUUGAUGAAAUCGAGCCCACUGAUAUCGCAAAAUCAUGUGAUGUUGAAGAAACGUCGUUGACUGUUUAUAGGAUUUCGGAGGACGAUCUCAUCUCAGUCUUAUGGAGUUGCUGGAAGGUGUUGAUCGUCAAUUCAAAAAACUUUGGUGGCUUCUUAAGAGAUCUAUGAUGGAUUGUUUGAAAAUUUACACUCUUUUGUGAAAAGAUAUAUGGCAGGUAACGAAACUGAGUCAUGCCAUUAUAUGUGAACGAUGAGAGCUUUGAGACAAAAGUCAAUAAUAAACAAAGUACUGUAGUCAAACUAGCUUUACACUCAUCGGUCACAUUAGAAAGCAAUUGAGACAAAAGCUCUUGCAGCCUCCACCCUCUGAAAAUCUUUUUUUCCAGGAAGAGACUUUUUGAUUCUUUUUUUGGAUACAUUGACCAGUUUUGGUGUUCACCGCUUCUAUAAAACUUCCCAUAGUAAUACCAUAUAACAUUUGGCAUAUCUUUAUCCCCCAUGAACUUGUUCACAACGCGAAGAUUCUUGCCAAAUAUAUAUAAACCAAUAAUAAAACUAUCAUGUUCAAUCGCGCUCCAACAUUCUUCACUUGAUGAACACGGAACUGAAACCAAACCAUUGUUUGUUUCACAACCUACAUUACAAAACUCACCCUUUCUCCCCAUUUCCCACCAAACCCUUCACCUUUCUCACGGAUUCUCCCCCAAAUUGGUUCAUUCUCAUCAAUUUCACCAAAUUCUCCUAUAAAUCGAUAAAUCCGCCCACCCACCACAUCUUCGAU
Long non-coding RNA from Helianthus annuus (common sunflower), 845 nucleotides. RefSeq lists it as uncharacterized. The transcript is spliced from 4 exons. Lineage: Eukaryota; Viridiplantae; Streptophyta; Magnoliopsida; Asterales; Asteraceae. The record is from RefSeq and is a predicted model, not a curated record.